AGAGAGUCGAAGGGUUGUUCUUUGGCCUGGAGGAAGGGUAGGACAGGGAGAACUGUCCUGUGUAUCUGCUACUCACAGUGUGGGGAAGUUCUGCGUCACUUAAAUUAGGGAGAGCUGGCGACUUACAAUACUCAUGUGGAUUUUCACAGUCAAUG
Carcharodon carcharias (great white shark) is the source of this 155-nucleotide long non-coding RNA. RefSeq lists it as uncharacterized. The transcript has 3 exons. Lineage: Eukaryota; Metazoa; Chordata; Chondrichthyes; Lamniformes; Lamnidae. The record is from RefSeq and is a predicted model, not a curated record.